CUAAGCCCCAACUCAAUGCCUCUAUGAUUGGGCAAGGAGCCCAAUUGUCAAUGAGUAAGUCGAGGCUCAAACCAAUGCUAGAACCCCUUUCAAUGCCCUAUUUUUGGGCUAGAAUCUAUUUUCUUGAUUCUGCUUGUUUCUGCCAUCAUUCGUUGCUCUCAUUGUCACCUGACCACUGUCUUCCAUCAACAAGCCUCCAAUGCCACCAUCAGCCAUGUCGACUGUCCAUCUUACUCCUCUUCUUUCCUUAGAGAGCUACAAAUAAGACCUCUCUAUAUAACACCUUCUUUCUCACUCUCCUCUCUCUUCCUUCUCUCUUUCUUUUUAUACUCUCGUUCUCUCUCGCUCCCUCUUCGAUUGCAUGGACCCUAACAAAGGGGCUCUCCCCUAUGAUCUUGGUUGACUUUGUAAAGUGGCUUUGAACCAUUCUCAUGUUUGGGCAAUGUGUCGGCCCCCACCCCAGUCUUUAUCAAGUACCAUUAGACUCCAUCAUCAUCGAUUCUUAUUGUGUUAUCAUUACCCU
This 523-nucleotide long non-coding RNA is filed under the name Phoenix dactylifera (date palm). RNAcentral's name for it is "long non-coding RNA (PDAC_LNC009048)". Lineage: Eukaryota; Viridiplantae; Streptophyta; Magnoliopsida; Arecales; Arecaceae. The record is from RNAcentral.